RNAcentral lists this unclassified non-coding RNA (260 nucleotides) under Verrucostoma freycinetiae. RNAcentral describes it as "partial contains 5.8S ribosomal RNA, internal transcribed spacer 2, and large subunit ribosomal RNA". The record is from RNAcentral. Lineage: Eukaryota; Fungi; Ascomycota; Sordariomycetes; Hypocreales; Bionectriaceae.
CGCACAUUGCGCCCGCCAGUAUUCUGGCGGGCAUGCCUGUCUGAGCGUCAUUUCACCACUCGUCACCAGCUUGCUGGAGGCGGCGUUGGGGAUCAGCCUCCCGCACCGGGUCGCUGUCCCCUAAAUGAAGUGGCGGUCGCGCUGUGACCUCCUCCGCGUAGUAAUUGCUCUCGCGGGCGGAUAGCAGGGUGACCACGCCGUAAAACCCCAACUUUUACAUGGUUGACCUCAGAUCAGGUAGGAAUACCCGCUGAACUUAA